UACAGAGGGUGCAAGCGUUAAUCGGAAUUACUGGGCGUAAAGCGUUGCGUAGGUGGUUUGUUAAGUCUGUUGUGAAAGCCCCGGGCUCAACCUGGGAAUGGCAAUGGAUACUGGCAGGCUAGAGUGCGGUAGAGGGUAGUGGAAUUCCCGGUGUAGCGGUGAAAUGCGUAGAGAUCGGGAGGAACACCAGUGGCGAAGGCGGGUCUCUGGGCCGAGUGACUGACGCUGGAGGAGCGAAA
RNAcentral lists this ribosomal RNA (239 nucleotides) under uncultured bacterium. RNAcentral describes it as "partial 16S ribosomal RNA". It matches the Rfam family "Bacterial small subunit ribosomal RNA", at positions 524 to 758 of the family's 1533-position model. The record is from RNAcentral.